AGCCAUAUAUGAGGAAGAAAGAUAUGGGCCUAGGUGGAGAGCCACUGUGAAGAAACCUAAAGUUAUGGAUCCUUUGUGGGCAAGGCUGGUAAUUUUGUUUCUUUUUUUCUUUGUGUGGGAUAGAGAAGCCACAGACGGCAAGCUUAAGCCCAGACCAAAACCUCUUUGGCAAAUGGUCCCUGCCUGCUUAGAGGAUAAACAAUGUGAGGAAGCCGUUAGAGCCGUUAGGACAGGUCAGAGGGUCCUUGCAGAGCAACAAAGUAUGUCAGAGGGAGAAAAGGUCUCCAAAGAAAAAAAGAAAA
RNAcentral lists this long non-coding RNA (302 nucleotides) under Rattus norvegicus (Norway rat). RNAcentral describes it as "long non-coding RNA NONRATT030638". The record is from RNAcentral. Lineage: Eukaryota; Metazoa; Chordata; Mammalia; Rodentia; Muridae.